Molecule: long non-coding RNA, 695 nt
Filed under: Pan troglodytes (chimpanzee)
Lineage: Eukaryota; Metazoa; Chordata; Mammalia; Primates; Hominidae
Description: long non-coding RNA NONPTRT018289
Source: RNAcentral
GGGAGCGGGGCGUGGGGGAGGGCAGCAAUCCGGGUGGAGGAAAUUUGGGAGGAGUGUCCGGGGGGCAGCAACUUAAAAGGGGGAGGGAACUGCGGCUAAGGAGACGUUCGGUGAUGGGAGCGCAAUGUAUGAGGGGAUACAGUGCCUCAGGUUUAAAAGAGCAGGAAGCUGAGUGAGAGGUUGCAGAAAAAGUGUCUUCGCUCGGCAGAGGUUACAGGUGGCAUCUCGGAAAGAGCUUUGAGGCUACAGGCUGUAGUCGGGAAGGGGAUCGGAGAACUGUGUGAAGGGACAGCUUAGGGACUAGCGUCCUGGGACUAGGGGGAAGUUCGCGACUUUCUGAAGACUGGCAGGAAUGUGCCUCCUGGCCCUCGAUGCUUCCCCCCUGAGGGGAGGCAUCGUGAGGGACUGUGGCAGGCUUCACUGAACGCUGAGCCGGGGAGGUCCAACUCCACGUAUGGAUCCGGGGAAUGAGAAUUCAGCCACAGAGGCUGCCGCGAUCAUAGACCUAGAUCCCGACUUCGAACCCCAGAGCCGUCCCCGCUCCUGCACCUGGCCCCUUCCCCGACCAGAGAUCGCUAAUCAGCCGUCCGAGCCGCCCGAGGUGGAGCCAGAUCUGGGGGAAAAGCCAGGCCAUUGAAAGCGCCCCGGAGAAGCGACUGACACUUGCCCAGAUCUACGAGUGGAUGGUCCGUACU